AGAGUUUGAUCCUGGCUCAGAUUGAACGCUGGCGGCAUGCCUUACACAUGCAAGUCGAACGGCAGCGCGGGGGGUAACUCCUGGCGGCGAGUGGCGAACGGGUGAGUAAUAUAUCGGAACGUGCCCUGGAGUGGGGGAUAACUAGUCGAAAGAUUAGCUAAUACCGCAUACGAUCUACGGAUGAAAGUGGGGGAUUCGCAAGAACCUCAUGCUCGUGGAGCGGCCGAUAUCUGAUUAGCUAGUUGGUAGGGUAAAAGCCUACCAAGGCGACGAUCAGUAGCUGGUUUGAGAGAACGACCAGCCACACUGGGACUGAGACACGGCCCAGACUCCUACGGGAGGCAGCAGUGGGGAAUUUUGGACAAUGGGGGCAACCCUGAUCCAGCAAUGCCGCGUGUGUGAAGAAGGCCUUCGGGCUGUAAA
Molecule: ribosomal RNA, 423 nt
Filed under: uncultured bacterium
Lineage: Bacteria
Description: bacterial SSU rRNA
Rfam family: Bacterial small subunit ribosomal RNA
Source: RNAcentral